AUUGAACGCUGGCGGCAGGCCUAACACAUGCAAGUCGAACGAGUGGCGGACGGGUGAGUAAUGUCUGGGAAACUGCCUGAUGGAGGGGGAUAACCAAUCGAAAGAUUGGCUAAUACCGCAUACCAUCAGAUGUGCCCAGAUGGGAUUAGCUUGUUGGUGGGGUAACGGCUCACCAAGGCGACGAUCCCUAGCUGGUCUGAGAGGAUGACCAGCCACACUGGAACUGAGACACGGUCCAGACUCCUACGGGAGGCAGCAGUGGGGAAUAUUGCACAAUGGGCGCAAGCCUGAUGCAGCCAUGCCGCGUGUAUGAAGAAGGCCUUCGGGUUGUAAAGUACUUUCAGCGGGGAGGCGUUACCCGCAGAAGAAGCACCGGCUAACUCCGUGCCAGCAGCCGCGGUAAUUC
This 406-nucleotide ribosomal RNA is filed under the name uncultured bacterium. RNAcentral describes it as "partial 16S ribosomal RNA". It matches the Rfam family "Bacterial small subunit ribosomal RNA", at positions 30 to 526 of the family's 1533-position model. The record is from RNAcentral.